This 4684-nucleotide long non-coding RNA is filed under the name Sus scrofa (pig). RNAcentral describes it as "lncRNA (ENSSSCG00000063103.1)". Lineage: Eukaryota; Metazoa; Chordata; Mammalia; Artiodactyla; Suidae. The record is from RNAcentral.
AUUGGAAAGGCAGCUUGAGAGCCAAGAUGAGGUAAGUAAUUUAAAAUACAGAAAAUCGUACUCUUGGAUGUCUGAGUAUAUAUAUAGACUGUACAUUUCACCCUCUUGAGCUGCGUGAUGAGACAGACAUAGUCUAAUGUUGGUGUAGGAAAUAAUUUUUUUCCUUUGGGUGUGGUAGACAAGUACUAAAAAUUCAGUUCAAUAUUAUUAAAAAUAUGUGUAAUUUUAUUAAACAUGAAUUUUACGAACAAGUACUUUUUUUUUUUUUUUUGCCAAGUCACAUUCUCUGGAUAAGUGAACACAAAAGUAUUUGCUUACUGUGUAGUGAAUGACUACAGAAAAUACUGCAAAGCCUAUCCUCUGAUAAGUUUAUUUAUAAGAAAUGUAUGAAUUCUAAGAAUACCUGCAGUUUUUAUACUUAUUGCUUUCCAUCACUUAAAAAAUAGACUUGGAAUUUGUUUUGUUUGCUCUAUGUAAAAAAAAAAAUGCUGAAAACAAAGCAGAAAAAUCCUUCAUUGACUUAGAUUGGAGGUUGAAUUUUAAAAAAAGAAGAGAGGAAUUCCAUGGUUGUCUAGCAGUUAAGGAUCUGGUGUUGUCAUCACUUUGGCUUGGGUUUGAUCCAUGGUCCAGGAACUUUUGUAUGCUGUUGGUGUGGAAAAAAAAUAGAGAAAGCUAUAACAAAAAUGUACCUCCUUAUUUAGUUAAGAAGUUAUCUACACAGUAGACAGUGUAAAUGAAAACACCAAAGCUCUUUUAUUUGGGCUCUUUCAGAGAACAGAGAUGGAGUUUAGUGAAUGAAGGUUUAUUCUAAAUGCAACCUAUUUACUACAUGGCCUGGACGUAGGGGUGCACAAGUAGGAAAUGACUAUCUCCCACCUUUCUUUCCCCUCUCCUCAGCUUCAUCCCACUGUAUCUCCCCAUAACUGGAUGAUAGCUUUGGAAGAUCCUACAAACUUUGGUAAAUUUUAACUUUGAAGAUGUCCUUAUUUUCAAGUAAUACACUAAGAAUAUGUUAUACUAAGUAAUGUACUAAGAAUAUAUCCAGCCAAGACUCCACUGAAGCUUUAAUCUCAUUCCCAGUUCAAAGAUGCUCCCUCUCCUCCACAGCCUCAAUUCCCACUCUUGCCCAGCCAGAUAUGGGGCUCAAGGACUAGCAAUAAUUGUUCCUUCAAGUGCCUCCUCCUACCAUUCCACCUUCUGGUUGAUUGAAAAUCUAAGUAAAGAGAAUGGGAAUUGGAGAAAAAAGGAUAACACCUUUUACUCAUCUGGGGCUCUUUCUCCUUUGGCUCACACUGGAUGAACAUCGAACCUUUCUUCAUUGCAGAAGUCUAAAUGCUGUCUCCUCAGUUCUUAAACACUCUUGUUUUAAACCCCAACCUCUACACUAUCCCAGUCCUUCAUGCACGUGGCACAGUUCAUGGCCAACUUAUUGUAGUGCCUUUUCAAACUCAGCCUUAUUUUAUGGUAGAACUCCCUGCUUGGCAUCACCUUUCUUGGUCGAGGUCCCUCAAGAUACCUUUGCAGGAACUCUUUUUUUUUUUUUUUUUUUUUCUUUCGGUCUUUUUAGGGCCACACUUGCGGCAUAUGAAGGUUCCAAGCUAGGGGUCGAAUUGGAGCUUUAGCCACAGCUACAGCAACACUAGAUCUGAGCCGUGUCUGCAACCUACGUCACAGCUCACAGCAACCCUGGAUCCCUAACCCACUGAGCGAGGCCAGGGAUUGAAUCUGUGUCCUCAUGGAUACUAGUCAGAUUCAUUUCCGCUGAGCCACAACAGGAACUCCAUAGAGCUCUUAAAGUGAUUUAUUUAGAUCAGCAGCAAUCAGUAUUCCAUUUAAUUUUGGGCGGCUGAGAAACAAGUCCAUUUUAGUUUUUCUACUUGCUUUUCCACUCUAGGAUCAAAAGAUUUCUAUAAUUCUAUAUCUUUAGUUUAAAAUCUUUUACAUUCCUAAAGGGGCAGAGGAGAAAAACACAAAAUUGGUCUAAAAUCUAAAGAAUAGCAGAUAACCUGCUUUUUUUGAAGGGAGGAGAAAGUAGAUUUCCUCAGUUCUGAACACAAGAAAUUUUGCCAUGUGUACAUGAAUUUAAAUAGUCGUGCUUUUUGUUUCCCUACUCACUUUUAGACCCUAAAAAUUGUAAAUAAUAUGUGACACGCGGGUUUAAAUAAAGUUAAACUUACCUGACGGAAGGCUUUACCCCAGUCACUGUGGUUUCCUUUGGAGAAUGUUCUUUUUACCAUUUUACCCCGACUCCAUAUAUGUUGCCACAAAACACUUUUACACACUUUUCUCCAGAAAAUUAUGCUGUAUAGAAUAAAUCUGAAUAAAUAUCUUAUUCUCAGCUUUGAGGCAAAUUCCAUGCAUCAAACUUUCCUGUGGUAAAGCCAGAUACAAAUACAGAGCAAUUAAAUGACAAAAAUGAGAAACACAGAACUUGACCACGUGUAUGGUAUUCUUCUGCCCUGUGGGAAUUUAUUUCAGCAGUUGAUAACGGCUUUUUGGAAAGAAAAUCUUCCACUGUAUGAAAUGCAUUUAUCAUUCAUGUGUCAUGGGGCGUAUUGACUUGGGCAAGGAUUCAUUUGAAAAAUUAGGGCUCUCUAGACCAAAACAAACAACUUGAAAAUAAAUCCACCAAAGGGUCUCUUUACUUUUUAAAAAUUAUGUGCCUAAUUUUACUAAUUUUGGACGUAUAACAUGUAUAUAGCACAUAUAUACAUAUACAUGCUAUACUUUAUUAUUGUUAUUCUGUACUUUUGCAUGUGAACAUUUUUGUGUCUGAUAAACUAGAACAUUUUAAUAUCUAUAAAAAUAAAUAGUAAUUUGCAAUAUUUUAUAGCCUAAUUUAUAUUAACUUGAACUAGUAUGUUUCCAACUUUUUUUUUUAACACCCACUCCAAUGCUAUAAUGAAUAUUAAUUAUAACUCAUAUUCUUGGGUGUUUUCUAUACACUAGGGUUUUUUUCGUAGCAGUCUGCAUAUAUUUAGUAAUUUAAUCUUGACAGUGAUUCCAUGAAGUAGGUGCUAAUAUUAUAUCUGGGUUUUUUAAAAAGCUGGGGAAAAUGAAGAAUAGAGAAAAUUUCUCGGUGUCAUAGAGCUAGUGUGUGAUUGAAUCAGGUUGGGAACGAAGCUAUGUGUCUCCAAAUUCUAUGUUCAUAAGUACUGUCCUAUACUGAGGUAGCAAGAUGGGAAGUAGAGAGCAAAAACAUUUUGAUCAGUCAGAGUCAGUAACAAUCAGUAGAUUUGUAUUUGGUCCUUUGCUUUGAUUUCUACUUCUUGGAAAAUCUUCCACUUAAUUUCCUUGGAGUUGUCAUUUUGAUUACUUGUUUUCAUAGCAAUUUUGAGGCAAGGCACACAGGAUGAAUUGGAAAACUAAACUACCUCUCUUAGAGCAGGGAUUCUCAAAGGCAUCUUCAGGGACUAAUAGCACCACUUGGGAAAAAUACUUCUUAUCCUGACCCAUGGAGAUUCUGAUUUGGCAGGUUUGGAUGCUAUUUUGGAAUAUGUAUUUUAAAAAAUCUCCCCUGUAGGUUUGGGUAUGAUUUAGAUCAUGGAAUUCGAUUUCAGCUCCUUUAAGUUGUUACAUGGUCAUUGUUUUAAUUCUCUGAACUCUACUCAGUGCUUAAACUAUAAUAUGAAGUUUUAAAUUUUAACCCAUCUCUUUAAAUAGAUUUAUUUCAAAACUAUAAUUAAAGAGAUUAAUUUUUCAGCACCUUUCUAGGAAGGGACCAAUGUAGGGUUGCUGUGGUGAGAGUAAUGGUUUAAUGGAAGUGUACUGUGAAUCACAUUUUCUCCAGUCAAAGCUGCCUUUGUUUUCUUUCCAGUCUUAUGUUUCUGAGAUUAUAUACCUAUUACAGUUGAAGGUCAUGUGUAAAGCAUCUCCUUCCACUUUUCAUCAUUAUUAAAUCAGUGGUGCUUUUGACUUAGAGAAAUAGACCGCUUCUACCUCCUUAGACCUUGCAAUUUCUUUCAAGAAAUAUAGGAGCUUGUGUUGGGGGUCAGAGUUACAGGAACUGCAUUAGCAGUGGCAACAGGGACUCCAGAAAGGUCAGUGGUCUAAAAAGUUGCAUCUAAGGGGCAGGAGUGAAAUCCAGUCCAAGUAAUGUAAACAAUUAGGUUACCCCUCCAAGGAGGGAAUGUGAAGGAAACAGGAAAACCAGAUGGGGAUGAGAGAAUACCAAGGACAGAGAAGAAGCUUGAACCAAAAGCAUUUGCCCAGUGGCUAGAGACUUUUUUCUUUUCUUUUUUUUUUUUUUAGGGUCACACCCAUGGCAUAUGGAAGUUCCCAGGCUAGGGGGCAAAUCAGAGUUGCAGCUGCCAGCCUACACCUCAGCCAUAGCAACACCACAUACAAGCCAUUUCUUCAACCUACACUGCUACUCAGGGCAAUGCCAGAUCCUUAACCCACUGAGUAAGGCCAGGGAUCAAACCCACGUCCUCAUGGAUACUAGUCAGGUUCAUUACCACUGAGCCAAAAUAGGAACUCUGGCUAAAGACAAGGGUGAAUUUCAUCAGGUACCCACAACCUUACCUCUGGAUGAAUAGAGGGUCCUGGUGGUACUUCAGGACUCCACCUGGAGGUUGAAUUUGCAUAGAUGGAAGAGAUGAAUUAUAUUGAUGAGACUUAUUAAUCCUCUAUUUAUUCAUUUUAUGCUGAAACCAACCACUCGCUGUUAAGAGUAUAGUUGAAC